AGAGGGUGCAAGCGUUAUUCGGAAUCACUGGGCGUAAAGCGCAUGUAGGUGGGAAUACCAAGUCAGAUGUGAAAGCCCGAGGCUUAACUUCGGAAUUGCAUUUGAAACUGGUAUUCUUGAGUUUGGGAGAGGAAGGUGGAAUUCCAGGUGUAGAGGUGAAAUUCGUAGAUAUCUGGAGGAACAUCGGAGGCGAAGGCGGCUUUCUGGCCCAAUACUGACACUUAGAUGCGAGAGCGUGGGGAGCAAACGGGAUUAGAUACCCUGGUAGUCCACGCUGUAAACGAUGUUAACUAGCUGUUUGAGGUAUUGACCCCUUGAGUGGCGCAGCAAACGCAAUAAGUUAACCGCCUGGGGAGUACGGUCGCAAGAUUA
Molecule: ribosomal RNA, 372 nt
Filed under: uncultured organism
Description: partial 16S ribosomal RNA
Rfam family: Bacterial small subunit ribosomal RNA
Source: RNAcentral